This is a long non-coding RNA of Rhinolophus ferrumequinum (greater horseshoe bat), 1165 nucleotides long. RefSeq lists it as uncharacterized. The transcript has 4 exons. The record is from RefSeq and is a predicted model, not a curated record. Lineage: Eukaryota; Metazoa; Chordata; Mammalia; Chiroptera; Rhinolophidae.
GAAUGAAGCUUAAGAAAAGCUGUCUUUGGAUUGCUACUAAUAGUCAUCUUCAUCAUUCCUGCUCUCUCUCUCUCUCUUUCUCAGUUCCCUUAUGAAAUAAGGGCACACAGGUAAUAAACAAAGCACUAUAAAAGAUCGGAUUGAGGUCUUCUGUGGGCUCAGUGAAUGUCGGCAGCAAGCAUUCUGCACACCACCGCUGGCCCUGCGGAGUCCAAAGCUGGUUCAAGACUGAGGAAUAGUGGCGGGAUUAGGCUAGACCCCUUUGCCCCUUUUUACAACCUGGCGGAAUUUAUCAGGGCCGUGUCCUUGGUCAGCUAAUCCACACCUGAUGACCCAGGGACAGAGGAAAAGAGGGCAGGGUAGAGACCCUUGGAUUCGCUCAUUCGGAUUUUGGAUUCUGACCUGACUUUCUUUGUCAACCCUCAUGCCAGAUCCAGGUACGGGCGGUGGGACCCUUGGAAAUCUCCAAGGGCAACUGCGAGAGUCAUCUCUACCAGUAGUGCCUGCGGCUGGAGGACUGAUGCCAACAGAAGAAUCUGUAGUGUCUCACAAGCAAUGAGGCUAAAGAGUGUACCUAGUUUUUGGCACAGAACACAAAAGAAGACGUCACAGGAGAGAUGACUAAAUCUGCCCCUGGCCCCGAGAAAGUCUGGCCCAACAGCAAGAGGCCGGCACGAGCUCCAGCUGCCACUUCAAGUCUUUCUACUUGAUUGUGCUGUGGGCACACAGAACACAGAACUCCCCACUCCCGGCGGGGAGAGAACCUAGGACCGAGGGGGAUGGAGACUCUGGACAUGAGGUGUGCGGGGAGGAGUGGUCAGAGAAGGAGGAGACUCACUGGCGUUUUCUUUUUCCUCCAUUUUCCAAACAAAGACGCUCAAUGAGAACAUACAGCCCGCAAGAGGAGCGUGUUCCUUGCCGGACUUCUGGAGGCUGAUGGGAGAGAUUUAUGUAAACAAAUCAUUCAGUUCUUCCUUUGGUAACCUUGACCCCGAGAAUGAAUUUGAUGACCCUACAACUUUUGGUUCUCUCCAUCACUACAGAAGCUGCAGACGGGACUCAGAGGGACCUCACAAAAUGGAGGAAAGUUAAAGAGAGAAAUGGUCCAUGGUGUAUUCUCUUACCUGCCAUAAAUUGGCGUCAUUUUGGGCCACCCUCCAGGGGA